CUUGGUUGAUGCAAAAGCAUUACAGUUGUCUCCUCCUGGUUUUUUCUCAGCAUAAUAAUUUUUUCAAUUGCCUACUUAACACAAUUUGAAUUGUAAAGGAAGAUUUGUAAAGUAGGUUCCGAAUCUUCCUGUGCUACUUUUUGUUAGUCAGUUCUCUGUUCAUGCUCCAUCAUAUUGCGCCUGUGUAUUGCUUGCAGAAGCAUUCCUGUUCUGCAGGUUAUUUAUGUUGCUGCCAUUAUGUUUGGAAAUCUAUGCUAGCCUCCAUCUUUUUCAUUAAUCGAGAUCUUUUCGCCUAUUAUAAAGAUAAGGCAGUGCACUUGAGAAAUUCCAAUCAUAUAUGUCAAUUGGUAAUGAUGAUCGCAAGUUACUUACCUUGAUUCCAUUUAUAGUGAAUGAGCUCUUGAUUGAUAUAUUUUGCGAGCCUUUAUUAAUAUAAUUCUAUAAAUAUUUGCAACUAACAUUUUUUAUGCUUCAUGGUUGUUUUGGUGAGUUGAUGAGAAUUUUUAAAAAUUGAGUUUUGAUUUCUCUUCUAGUAUUUCAUGUAUGCUCAAUUUAUUGUGUUUGGAUUUUGCAGUGCUCUCUCUAUGCGUUUUUUGUUUAAUUUGUGAUGGGUAAAGAUGACGGGCAGUCUUCUAAAUGACCAGGUUAAUGUUCCUAUUUUUCGCAAUGGCCUCUUCUAUUAGAAAUACUAAUUUACCCUUACUUUUAUUAUUUGCAAGAUGUAUUCUGUAUCUUUCGGGACUUAUUAAUCAGGACCUAUAUCUAUAUUUUUUAAUCUUUCUAACACCUUUAAAUAUUCUUUGUAUCUUGAUAAUUUUUCAAAGAUCUUAGGCUGAUCUUCCUUAGUUAUGUAUCCUUGAACUAAUCCUUCUGAGACUUCUUCUUGUAUAUCUCUAUGUUUAGUUAUAAUAUUUUCUACCUUUCUUAUUUCUCUACUAGUUCUUACAUAAUCAAAUUUUAUAUUGUGCUUACAAAAAUAAUCUAUAUCUUGGUAUAUU
RNAcentral lists this long non-coding RNA (998 nucleotides) under Olea europaea subsp. europaea. Lineage: Eukaryota; Viridiplantae; Streptophyta; Magnoliopsida; Lamiales; Oleaceae. The record is from RNAcentral.